GGCUGGUCCGAUGACAGUGGGUUAUCAGAACUUACUAACAUUAGUGUCACUAAAGUUGGUAUCCCCCCCCCCCCCCCGCACUGCUAAAUUUGACUGGCUUUAA
This is an unclassified non-coding RNA of Cavia porcellus (domestic guinea pig), 103 nucleotides long. It matches the Rfam family "Y RNA". From Rfam's summary of the family: Y RNAs are components of the Ro ribonucleoprotein particle (Ro RNP), in association with Ro60 and La proteins. NCBI's taxonomy places the organism in Eukaryota, Metazoa, Chordata, Mammalia, Rodentia, Caviidae. The record is from Ensembl.